GUAUGUCUGUGUGUGUGAGAGUCUGUCAGUGUCUGUGUGGUUCAGUAUGUCUGUAUGUGUGUAUGUCUGUCAGUGUGUCAGUAUGUCUGCGUGUGAGUCUGUCAGUGUCUGUGUGGUUCAGUGUGUAUGUGUGUUUCAGUAUGGCUGUCUGUGUAUGUCAAAAUGUCUGGAUGUGUGUUUGUCUGUCAGUGUCUGUGUGUAUGUGUGUUUCAGCAUGUCUGUCU
This 224-nucleotide long non-coding RNA is filed under the name Pelobates cultripes (western spadefoot toad). The record is from RNAcentral. Lineage: Eukaryota; Metazoa; Chordata; Amphibia; Anura; Pelobatidae.